RNAcentral lists this long non-coding RNA (3443 nucleotides) under Papio anubis (olive baboon). RNAcentral's name for it is "lncRNA (ENSPANG00000051308.1)". Lineage: Eukaryota; Metazoa; Chordata; Mammalia; Primates; Cercopithecidae. The record is from RNAcentral.
GAGUAGCUGGGAUUAUAGGCGUGCACCACCACGCCUGGCUAAUUUUUGUGUUUUUAGUAGAGACGGGUUUCACCAUGUUGGUCAGGCUGGUCUCGAACUCCUGACCUCAGGCAAUCUUCCUGCCUCAGCCUCCCGUGGUGCUGGGCAACACUUCAUAGAGUGUUCAAAAAGUCAGAAACAUAGGACUAAUUUAUUUUCAAGCAAUUUAUUAGUAACAUUUUGAAAUAAUAUUGAUCAAUAUAUUUUCCUUUGACUUCCACAUAGUGUCUUAGGUAACUGUCUCUAAAGCAAUAAAUCUAAUUGUUAAUCUAAAAUAUGAUGUUAAAAAUACACUGUAGGCCAGGUGUGGCUCACGCCUGUAAUCCCGGCACUUUGGGAGGCUGAGGUGGGUGGAUCACCUGAGGUCAGGAGUUGGAGACCAGCCUGGCCAACAUGGUGAAACCCCACCUCUACUAAAAAUACGAAAUAGCUGGGUGUGGUGGCACAUAUCUGUAAUCCCAGCUACUCGGGAGGCUGAGGCAGGGGAAUUGCUUGAACUUGGGAGGCGGAGGUUUCAGUGACCCGAGAUAGUGCAACUGAACUCCAGCCUGGAUGACAGAACAAGACUCUGUCUCAAAAAACAAAUUUAAAAACCCUACUAUAUUCCCUGUAUUUCCAAGCGUUUUGGACAAGAUUUAGGGCAUUUUUACAAUUACUUAUUGUUUCCUUGAAUAGGCAGAUAUUUAAGCUCUUAAAAAUUGGGGAAAACUUCAGUGGAAGAAAAAGCGUGGCUUCCAGCCCUUACGCCCUACGUAGCAGGUAACACUUGGAAAGUGAUACAUUAGCUCAGAGCCAUGAUCAACCUUUUCUUGUGUAGUUUCUGCCUUUGGUGUUAUGUUUAAAUAGGCAUUCCUCACACUAAAAUUAUACAGUCACUGUUGUUUUCUUUUUUUUUUUUUUUUUGAGACGGAGUCUCACUCUGUCGCCCAGGCUGGAAUGCGGUGGUGUGAUCUCGGCUCACUGCAACCUCCACCUCCCAGGUUCGAGCUAAUUUUUGUAUUUUUAGUAGAGACAGGGUUUCACUAUUUUGGCCAGGCUCGUCUUGAACUCCUGACGUCAGGAGUUCAAGACCAGCCUGGCCAACGUGGUGAAAUCCAGUCUGUACUAAAAUCAGCUGGGCAUGGUGGUGCAUGCCUGUAAUCCCAGUUACUCGGGAGGCUGAGGCAGGAGAAUUGCUUGAACCGGGACCCAGGAGCCAAGAUGGUGCCACUGCAUUCCAGCCUGGGCUACAGAGUGAGACUUCUUCUCAGAAAAAGCAAAAAAAAAAAAAAAAAAAAAAAAAAGCAAAACAAAGAAAAAGCAAUACUCUGAUUAAAAAGCACAAACUAGAGUAGACACUGUUGGCUGCCUAGCCCACAGUUUCUUUCUUGCUGGAAGAGCUGAUUUUCAUGUGAGAGGCUGAAAUGUCAGAAAGACGCCUGCCAGCACUUGUCCUGGCAGCUAAGGCAUUGGCCUGUGACCCAGUAAGUCUUUGCCAAUGGACCUUAGGGGUAAGUCUGCUGGUGAGGUACUCUGAAAAGUUUUCCUCCUCAGUUAAAAGAGAAACAUAAAAGGAAACAUUGUCCUUUCUACCUUUGGGCAUGGUUGUGUGAUAACUUGAUGUCUUGAGCCCUGUGAUGUCUUGAGCCAUGGCAGCCACCUUGCUACAAUGAGGGGACAAGCCUGGGGAUAACAGACAAUACACAGAUCACUGAACACUAAGACAGAAAGAGUCUCGGUCAUUGAGGUCAUUGUUGAGCUACUGAAUUAACCUUCCCUGUACCCUCCCUGUAGCUGCUACCUCUAAACUUUUUUUUUUUUUUUGAGAUGGAGUCUCGCUCUGUCACCUAGGCUGAAGUGCAGUGGUGCGAUCUCAGCUCACUGCAACCUCCGCCUCCCAGGUUCAAGUGAUUCUCCUGCCUCAGCCUCCCGAGUAGCUAGGACUACAGGCACGUGCCACCACGCCCAGAUAAUUUUUUGUAUUUUUAGUAGAGACAGGGUUUCACUGUGUUAGCCAGGAUGGAUGGUCUCAAUCGUCUAACCUUGUGAUCCACCUGCCUUGGCCUCCCAAAGUGCUGGGAUUACAGGCGUGAGCACCCCCGCCUGGCUCUAAACCUCUUUUUACAUGAGAUAGUAAAUAUUCUUCUGUUUAAGUCAUUUUCUGUUAGGCUUCUAUAUUUGAAGAUAAAAUAACUCUACAUUUGAACAAUUUUUCAACUCAACUGUUUUGAUUUGUUAUGGCCCUGGGUAUGUGUAAGACUAGUGUGAUUCACCUAGCAUCUUUUUUUCUGAUUGAGACUUUGGCUUGAGGAGUAGCUAUAGUGUUGCUGAGGUGUUACUGAAUUAUGAACCUAUAUAUAUUAUAAAACUUGUUUUUUUUUUUUUUUUUGAGACAGAGUCUGUUGCCCAGGCUGGAGUACAGUGGGGCGAUCUUGGUUCACUGCAACCUCCAUCUCCUGGUUUCAAGCAAUUCUCCUGCCGCAGCCUCCUGAGUAGCUGGGAUUACAGGCAGGUGCCAAUAGGCACGGCUAAUUUUUUAUAUUUUUGGUAGAGACAGAGUUUCACUAUGUUGGCCAGGAUGGUCUCGAACUCCUGACCUCAGGUGAUCCGCCCACCUCGUCCUUCCAAAGUGCUGGGAUUCAGGCGUGAGCCGCUGCACCUAGCCGUGAAACUUAGUUUUUAUAAGCUAAGCUCAAUCAAUAUACCAUCCAAGGUGGAAUACUGAUUCUCUUUUAUAUAUCUGAUAAGUAAGGUAGACUGUGCUGUGGAAGUGAAUAUUAGAAUUCUAUAUCUCUGACUCAGUUCUGAUCCCAUGAUAUAACAUUCUGACUUACAUAGUCAAAAAUACCUACCACGGCCGGGCGUGGUGGCUCAUGCCUGUAAUCCCAGCACUUUGUGGGGCUGACAUAGGUGGAUCACUCGAGGUCAGGAGUUUGAGACCAGCCUGGCCAACAUAGUGAAACCCCAUCUCUGUUAAGAAUACAGAAAUUAGCCGGGCGUGGUGGUGCACGCCUGUAGUCCCAGCUAUUUGGCAGAUUGAGGCACCAGAAUUACUUAAACUCAGGAGGCAGAGGUUGCAGUGAGCCGAGAUCGUGCCACUGCACUCCAGCCUGGGGAUAGAGUGCGACUCAGUUUCAAAAACAAAACAAAACAAAACAAAAACAUAUUAAAAAAAAAAACCUACCAAAAUACAGUGACAUGAUUAAAGAAUAUCCUCUUCACUCAAAGAAUGCUGGGAAUGUCUGUUUCAGUUAAUUGGAGAUAUGUGUAUGCAUCCAAGCUUGAAUAAUUGCCAAGACCCACUAUUCAUUUAUUUAUUUAUUUUUUUUAGGUAAACUGACCCAAUGUUUUCUAAAGUUUGCAUGCAAAAAGUUGCACUUACUGUGUAUUUUCAACACUGUGUUCUCUACAUUAGGUGUACAAUG